ACACACACACUGGACACACACACACACACACUGGACACACACACACACACACACACACACACACACACUGAACACACACUGAACACACACUGAACACACACAAACUGGACACAAAAUGGACACACACACUCAACACACACACUGAACAAACACACACAAACACAUUCUGGACACACGCACACUGGACAAACGAAAACACACACAGACUCACACACAUACACACACACACACUGGACACACACACACACACACACACACACACACACUGGACACACACACACACACACACACACACACACACACACACACACACACUGGUCAAACAAAAAUACACACACACACACACACUGGACACACACACACACACACACUGGACAAACAAAGUGGACAAACACACACACUGGACACACACACACACAAACACUGGACACACACACACACUGGACUCACACACACACACUGGACACACACACACACUGGACACACACACACACACACUGGACACACACACACACACACUGGACACACACACACACACACUGGACACACACACACACACACUGGACACACACACACACACUGGACACACACACACACACACUGGACACAC
This 610-nucleotide long non-coding RNA is filed under the name Salmo salar (Atlantic salmon). RNAcentral's name for it is "lncRNA (ENSSSAG00000101222.1)". The record is from RNAcentral. Lineage: Eukaryota; Metazoa; Chordata; Actinopteri; Salmoniformes; Salmonidae.